Molecule: long non-coding RNA, 1600 nt
Organism: Herpailurus yagouaroundi (jaguarundi)
Lineage: Eukaryota; Metazoa; Chordata; Mammalia; Carnivora; Felidae
Exons: 3
Source: RefSeq, a predicted model, not a curated record
AUGUUCUCAUAAUAGCAUCAGAUUGGGGCAGAGUUCACAGGGCGGGCUUCUUCUGGGCAGUCGUCACUCAGGGAUCCAGGCUGAUGGAGGCUCUGUCGUCUUCAACACUUGAGUUCCUCUCAAUCUCAGCCGGCUGGAUGAGCCAAGGAGCUGCUGUGUGGGGGGCUGUUAUGGGCCGGGCUUCAAAGUGAUGCAGAUGGGAACACUGGAGCUGAGAAGACAAAUCCAGCAUGAGCCAGAGGGCCCUCUGCUUCGCGGGUCAGGAGAAAGCAACUGCUUGAUUUCGGGUUUGCCCCUCAGACUGCAGAGCUCCGGGUCACCAGCCUAAACCGCUUAAUGCACAUUACGCCUGGGUCUACUUGGAAAUGGCUGAAGGCACUUAAAUGGAAUGUCCAACCUUUGUCCUCAGCCCUGAAACCACAGAUUCAUAUUCCAAGAGAGCAUCUGAGCAGCUUGACUGGGUCACAUGGCCCUCUCUUGACCUGGAAGGACGGGGCACCAUGAUGGACGGUUCCACUGAGAAGGGAAAUGGAGAGGAGAGCUAGUUCUCCAAAGGAAUACAGAGGUAGAGUAACUACAGAAGGGGACGGCAAAUACAUAUUUCUACUAUAGAACUUUGUUUUUGACUUUGUGGUUUGACUGAUUGUUUUCUCCAAACAAGAGUGGCCAAUCUAACAGUGUUUUAUGAGAUUGUGGGGCCUGUGCAGGACUUUGAAGGGCCAUCAAGCGCGUGGCUUGGUUAUCUACCCAAGCCAGAGAGCUGUCUAUCAUUUUCUGAGAAUCUUCCCAGACUCCUCUGAGAAGAUGGUCUAACUUUUAAAUCCUUACAAACAAGACCAGUUCUCUCUUCCAGGGAGAUAUUAAAUACCCGACAACCAGUAUACCAUGGGAGUGAGCUAACCAAAACUGUAAGAGCGGUAAACAACCCAUAGGACCAAACUGAUCCACGCCAACCUACCGUCUGUCCAGUGUCUCCUUAACCUAAGUGGGACGUUGAAAGCCUGUCCUUCUGAUCUCUACAAUAGAUGCCCAUAACAGCUCCUCAUUCCCUGGGAGAAGUACCGGGGUCUUCUUUCCUGAGUUUUCACAGACCCAUGGCUUUGUCAGGGACUUGAAAAUUUAGUGUGCCAACUGUAUGAUGGAUGCUGCCUUCUUAACAGAGCUGCACUUAAAUGCCAUGCAGUCUGCUGCUUUUUCCUGUGUAUUAAACUCUGGAGUCAUCCUGCCUGAGUUUAAAACCCAGCUCUACUACUUACUGGCUCUGUGGCCUCAAGUAAGUGGUUUACCCUCUCUGAGCCUACCUCCCCACCAUUUUCCCUCCUCCACUAUCAAGCAAAUUCCAGACACCGUAUCAUUUCAUCCCUAAAUACAUUACUAAAUGAUAAGGACUCUUUUUAAAAGGUAACCAGAGUACCAUAAUUCUUUUAUAUCAUCAAGUGGCUGUUCCUCAUUUAUGGUUCUUAUAGAGUAUCUUAAUUGUUUUCUUAGGAAAGUAGUAAUUUCUUUUUUCCUCAACAUAGUACCAUAAGCAUUUUACCAUGCUGUUAAAUAUUCUUCUAAAAUGUAAUAUUUAGGGGCACCUGGGUGGUUCAGUUGGUUA